GAGUUACAGAUCGCGCUUCGGAGAGAAGAAGGAGAGAAGAAGGAGAGAAGCUUCUCAUUAAGGCAGCGGAUUUUGCUGCACUUGUGAAGGAAGGCUGUGUCCUCCAACAAGUGUUUAACUGUGACAAAACUUGAUUUAUUCUGGGAAAAAAAUGCCACGGAGGACGUAUAUAAAACAACAGAGGAGAAGAAGCUGUUUCAUUGACUGGUUGUGCUUCAGCACUUUUUAAUGUCACUUGUCCGUCACAUUUCCGCAAGAUUUUGAAAAGCGGGCAGAAGCAAACUCCUUGGAUAAGUUUUUAUCCAAAAGACCAACAAGUUUACAGUUAAAGUUACAUCUGAAUGAUCCUUUUAAGGAUCUACAGUUUAAGUUUAGUUUGUGUUUACAGUGUGCACAAACCUCCGUCUCUAGGAUACGAUCUCAGGCACAGUUUAAGUGCCAGGUCCAGUUCGGGCAACGGACCUGACAUUUUCCUGGCGCGUCGACACAUCCUCCCUCCGUAACCAGAAGACGACGCGCCGCAACCCCGUUAGACGGAGGAAAAGACCACCACUUCAAAUGUGGCCGGCGUUCUAGACUAAAGUCGACUUGUGGUUUGGAGGAGGGAUUGACGACGCUCUACGAAGCCACUAGAAUCACAAUUUUGACGUAAGUAAGGAGUCUUUUGUGUGAGAUUGUGGACUUUAAGUUAAUCACUGCAGUGUAACUAAAACACAGGAAGACCGUUCAACACGUGACCUGUGACGGGAAGACAGAUUUAUUCUGUCGAUGUGAUGUUUGCCACAGGAAGACAGUUAACACUUGACCUGGAGGGCAAUUCUAAGACUAUUAUUUACAUCAAAGAGAGACAACUGUGACGUGUAGGAUUUUUUUUUUCCUCCAGAUGAUUUCGCAAAUUCUAAUUGGACAUUUUAAAAAAGUACCGAAAACCCAAGUUUAUCUGAAGGGGUAAUGAAUGAUAAAUGAAUGGAAUGUAUGACUGGGAACGAUCGUAAGCGAAUUCCUGUAACUCCGGUUGCAGUGUAGCUUGCGUGACAUUCCAUACGCACAAAAACUCAACAGCGAUCGCAAGGAAGCAGAGGCAAGGUCGACCCGCCCAAUCUAAGGAUUUGGUAGAAGCUUGGUCGGCACCUCGCGGACGCGCCAGAGUCAUUAAAGGGGUCUUGAAAUACCACUGAUUUAGAUGGCCCUAGGCCUAACCCCCUCAGUGGUCUAAAAUGGGAAACACACAGGGUACAUUAAAACUCGAGGGCGACCCCAAAUAUAUGGAAAGGGUCUCCCCGGGAUCCACACAGUACUGUAAUGACUGGAAAAAGAAAUAUGGUUUCACAAAUAAACUUGUGGUGGAAAAUUGUCAAAAGUUUGUAAGUGACGUCACACUUCAAGUAGCCACAAAGACAAGAAAGAGUAAGUUAAAAAAGGAGGAAGAAUUGAAAGUAGCGAAGAGAUGGUUAGAUGAGGCACAGAAGAGACAGAAAGCAAUCAAUGACAGGAAGAGUCAGAAAGGAAAGGACAAGAUAAUGUAUGUAAGACCUGAAGAUAAUGAAACAGUGACCGGACGACAACAGCCACCAUUACAGCCGAGACCACAACCUGGACAACAAAUUGUACAACAACCAUCACAGCAGAAUGCACAAGAACAACAACAACAAUCACAACUUACAGACUCUGGAAGUACACCCUGGAGCUUAGAUCUACAUUAAAGUAAUCAAAAGGAAAUCUUGGUCCAGCCCAAAGUGGGAAGGGCCAUUCCAAGUGUUAUUAACAACACCAACUGCAGUUAAAAUUGCCGAGAGGUUGAGUUGGAUCCACCUAAGUCACUGUAAGCUGGUAAACUCCUGGACAACCCAGAGGAAAAGGCAUCCAGCCCAGAGGAAAAGAUCAUCUUGGGUGCAUCUAUCCCACAACAAAGACAAAGACCAAAGGUUGAAGCAGACGAGUAACCAGCUGUGACCAAGGAGAGGCCUGUCAAAUCAGACCAGGAUCAGAAGCAGACGUACUACAAGCUUGAAAUAAGAGCACUGAAGCUGACAUGACCAGACCAGGAGACAGAAGCAGACGAAACUGCAUCUUUGAAAACAGGAGACAAGACGAUCCUGUUCAAAUCCUGUGCACCUGUGUUUAAAAGAAACAUCAAGAACAGGGCACAGGACAGAGUACAUGACACAUUAUCUUAAGUCCACUUGCAACAUGUCUUACACAUACUGAUAAUAGUAGAGAUUUAUGCACUACAACUGAAGGGAAAUAACAGAAAAAAAAAAAAAAAAAAAAAGGUUCCAGAUUCCCUCAGUCCCU
Molecule: long non-coding RNA, 2295 nt
Organism: Thalassophryne amazonica
Lineage: Eukaryota; Metazoa; Chordata; Actinopteri; Batrachoidiformes; Batrachoididae
Exons: 2
Source: RefSeq, a predicted model, not a curated record